This 128-nucleotide microRNA precursor is filed under the name Marmota monax (woodchuck). The record is from RNAcentral. Lineage: Eukaryota; Metazoa; Chordata; Mammalia; Rodentia; Sciuridae.
AUCAGAUUCACCAGGAGGACUUGUUAAACCACAGAUUGCUAAGCAUGUCACCCAGCAUCUCUGAUUCAGUAAAUUUGAGAUAGUGCCCCCAAAUUUGCAUUUCUAACAAGCUCCUAGGUGAUGCUGAU